GGCGGCAGGCCUAACACAUGCAAGUCGAGCGGUAGCACAGAGAGCUUGCUCUCGGGUGACGAGCGGCGGACGGGUGAGUAAUGUCUGGGAAACUGCCUGAUGGAGGGGGAUAACUACUGGAAACGGUAGCUAAUACCGCAUAACGUCGCAAGACCAAAGUGGGGGACCUUCGGGCCUCAUGCCAUCAGAUGUGCCCAGAUGGGAUUAGCUAGUAGGUGGGGUAACGGCUCACCUAGGCGACGAUCCCUAGCUGGUCUGAGAGGAUGACCAGCCACACUGGAACUGAGACACGGUCCAGACUCCUACGGGAGGCAGCAGUGGGGAAUAUUGCACAAUGGGCGCAAGCCUGAUGCAGCCAUGCCGCGUGUGUGAAGAAGGCCUUCGGGUUGUAAAGCACUUUCAGCGGGGAGGAAGGCGAUAAGGUUAAUAACCUUGUCGAUUGACGUUACCCGCAGAAGAAGCACCGGCUAACUCCGUGCCAGCAGCCGCGGUAAUACGGAGGGUGCAAGCGUUAAUCGGAAUUACUGGGCGUAAAGCGCACGCAGGCGGUCUGUCAAGUCGGAUGUGAAAUCCCCGGGCUCAACCUGGGAACUGCAUUCGAAACUGGCAGGCUAGAGUCUUGUAGAGGGGGGUAGAAUUCCAGGUGUAGCGGUGAAAUGCGUAGAGACCUGGAGGAAUACCGGUGGCGAAGGCGGCCCCCUGGACAAAGACUGACGCUCAGGUGCGAAAGCGUGGGGAGCAAACAGGAUUAGAUACCCUGGUAGUCCACGCCGUAAACGAUGUCGAUUUGGAGGUUGUGCCCUUGAGGCGUGGCUUCCGGAGCUAACGCGUUAAAUCGACCGCCUGGGGAGUACGGCCGCAAGGUUAAAACUCAAAUGAAUUGACGGGGGCCCGCACAAGCGGUGGAGCAUGUGGUUUAAUUCGAUGCAACGCGAAGAACCUUACCUGGUCUUGACAUCCACAGAACUUUCCAGAGAUGGAUUGGUGCCUUCGGGAACUGUGAGACAGGUGCUGCAUGGCUGUCGUCAGCUCGUGUUGUGAAAUGUUGGGUUAAGUCCCGCAACGAGCGCAACCCUUAUCCUUUGUUGCCAGCGGUCCGGCCGGGAACUCAAAGGAGACUGCCAGUGAUAAACUGGAGGAAGGUGGGGAUGACGUCAAGUCAUCAUGGCCCUUACGACCAGGGCUACACACGUGCUACAAUGGCAUAUACAAAGAGAAGCGACCUCGCGAGAGCAAGCGGACCUCAUAAAGUAUGUCGUAGUCCGGAUUGGAGUCUGCAACUCGACUCCAUGAAGUCGGAAUCGCUAGUAAUCGUAGAUCAGAAUGCUACGGUGAAUACGUUCCCGGGCCUUGUACACACCGCCCGUCACACCAUGGGAGUGGGUUGCAAAAGAAGUAGGUAGCUUAACCUUCGGGAGGGCGCUUACCACUUUGUGAUUCAUGACUGGGGUGAA
RNAcentral lists this ribosomal RNA (1454 nucleotides) under uncultured organism. RNAcentral describes it as "16S ribosomal RNA". It matches the Rfam family "Bacterial small subunit ribosomal RNA". The record is from RNAcentral.